GCCCACUUGACUCUUCCUUCUCCACGUAACCCUAUCUUCUUCAUCUCUCACCUUUCUCUACUCCCAACCCUUCCAUUUCUCAUCUCUUCCAAUCCGUUUCAAGGAUUAACUUCACGAGUAAUUGCUCUAAUCAAUGAAUCUUUGGAAGCUCAUGAUGGAGCAAGCAAAGGCAAAUACACCAUUGGACUUGGCCAAGAUUGUUUAGCUUUUUGCACUGAGCUUGAAGACGUCAUCUCAAUGAGUUUCAAUGGGUAGAAGUUGGACUUUGAGGAGGAACGUUUCCGGUUCCAUUCCUAUGAAGACUUCGAAGCUGGCUGUGAUAUGAAAGGUGAUCUUUUCGGGGACCUGUUCUGAAGCUCUAUCUUUGGGACCAAGCUGCUGUGGAUUUCUGCAAGAAGUUCAAGUCUUCUGACAACACUCCCUCCGUGAUUUUGGUGACUACUGUUUACCCCAAACGUUUAGUAGAGAGUAAUGAAACACUUGGGACUGGGGAUGACGUUAUGGAGCCAUCCAAAAGCCCUCAAGAUAGGUGAUGGUGUUGAGAUAGGCAACGCUAAACGUUCUAAAGAUGGGAACUAAUAUGCCUCUCAUCGUGGCAAAGAAUGCAACUUUUAAUACACUUAUCUGUUUUAGCUUUCCAGUUUUUUGGCUUUUGUUGGACUAUUUCUCCUAAUUCUGCUUAUUUCAUACUUUUGAAUCUAUUUUGGAAACAAUUUGUUAAAAUAUAUUAGUGUUGAUAGGAUAGCCAAUACCAGCUUCCUACAAUCGGACUUAUCUGCAUGUUUGAUGAUGGGUAAACAGAAGCUUGCAGCAGCUAAGCCAGUUCUUUGUUCAUUUUCCAAAAAUGAUUCAGAAGAUAAAUUUAGAGAUGAGAUGGUGAAAUAUUUUGUUCUCAUAAUGUAGUUUUCAAUUUGCAUAUGCAGUGUGCGCUGUUGUUUUGUAUAGAGCACAAAUUUGUAUUUAUGAAUAUAGAAACAUGUUAAUAAGACCGCUCCUGUUGCAACAGCAUAAAUCUGUUGUUGUAACAUAAUAAAAAAAGCCUUGGUUUA
Molecule: long non-coding RNA, 1049 nt
Organism: Raphanus sativus (radish)
Lineage: Eukaryota; Viridiplantae; Streptophyta; Magnoliopsida; Brassicales; Brassicaceae
Exons: 5
Source: RefSeq, a predicted model, not a curated record